RNAcentral lists this ribosomal RNA (513 nucleotides) under uncultured bacterium. Its description in RNAcentral is "partial 16S ribosomal RNA". It matches the Rfam family "Bacterial small subunit ribosomal RNA", at positions 28 to 507 of the family's 1533-position model. The record is from RNAcentral.
GACGAACGCUGGCGGCGUGCUUAACACAUGCAAGUCGAACGAAAAGAGGGAAAGAGCUUGCUCUUUCCGGAAUUGAGUGGCAAACGGGUGAGUAACAAGUAAACAACCUGCCUUCAGGAUGGGGACAACAGACGGAAACGACUGCUAAUACCGAAUAAGUUCCAAGAGCCGCAUGGCCCAUGGAAGAAAAGGUGGCCUCUACCUGUAAGCUAUCGCCUGAAGAGGGGUUUGCGUCUGAUUAGCUGGUUGGAGGGGUAACGGCCCAACAAGGCGACGAUCAGUCGCCGGUCUGAGAGGAUGAACGGCCACACUGGAACUGAGACACGGUCCAGACUCCUACGGGAGGCAGCAGUGGGGAAUCUUCCGCAAUGGGCGAAAGCCUGACGGAGCAACGCCGCGUGAGUGAUGACGGCCUUCGGGUUGUAAAACUCUGUGAUCCGGGACGAAAAGGCAGAGUGCGAAGAACAAACUGCAUUGACGGUACCGGAAAAGCAAGCCACGGCUAACUACGUG